This 253-nucleotide ribosomal RNA is filed under the name uncultured bacterium. Its description in RNAcentral is "partial 16S ribosomal RNA". It matches the Rfam family "Bacterial small subunit ribosomal RNA", at positions 524 to 776 of the family's 1533-position model. The record is from RNAcentral.
UACAGAGGUCUCAAGCGUUGUUCGGAUUCAUUGGGCGUAAAGGGUGCGUAGGUGGCGUCGUAAGUCAGGUGUGAAAUCUCGGGGCUCAACCCCGAAACUGCACUUGAUACUGCGAUGCUCGAGUACUGGAGAGGAGAUUGGAAUUUACGGUGUAGCAGUGAAAUGCGUAGAUAUCGUAAGGAAGACCAGUGGCGAAGGCGAAUCUCUGGACAGUUACUGACACUGAAGCACGAAGGCCAGGGGAGCAAACGGG